UGCCAGCCGCCGCGGUAAGACGGAGGGUGCAAACGUUGUUCGGAAUCACUAGGCAUAAAGGGCAUGUAGGCGGCUCGUUAAGUCAGAUGUGAAAGCCCUCGGCUCAACCGGGAAACUGCAUUUGAUACUGGCGAGCUUGAGGAUGGUAAGGGUGAGUGGAACUCCAGGUGGAGCGGUGAAAUGCGUAGAUAUCUGAAGAAACACCUGUGGCGAAAGCGGCUCACUGGACCAUCACUGACGCUGAGAUGCGAAAGCCAGGGUAGCGAACGGGAUUAGAUA
RNAcentral lists this ribosomal RNA (279 nucleotides) under uncultured bacterium. Its description in RNAcentral is "partial 16S ribosomal RNA". It matches the Rfam family "Bacterial small subunit ribosomal RNA", at positions 506 to 784 of the family's 1533-position model. The record is from RNAcentral.